CGCACAGACGUUCAUGUUGAGUCACAGACAACCACACACACACACACACACACCUAUACACGCCUGCUCUUUGUCUCCUGUGCUUCGACGCGCGCAUCCCGACAACGCCCGGCGUCUUGUGCCGUCUUCCACCUUCCCUCUCCACCCGUUGCAUGUCUGCACUUCGUCUUGCCACACCCGCUUUGUCUCGCCAUGCCAUCGCAUCCACCGACCCCCUUUUUCCCGUGUCUUUCCCUUUCAACUCCCCUUUACGUGGACCCCUGAUGGCAUGGGGGGGGACGCCUCCCAGCGCGUGGUACGCGUCAGAGUCCAGCAACCCCACUCUCCGCGGGGAAGCCAAGCAGCCCCCUCCCCUUCCCUCUCUCCCUCCCUAUCCCCUGCCAAAUGCUGAGCCGCGUCUGGUGGUGACAGGGUCAGGUUGUGGGUGGCGUUGCAUCGGUGCGACCCAAGCGUAUCGCAGCUGGCCCCUCGCUGCCCACUGGUGCGGGUAACCUGUGCGCCACCCCGAGGGGGAUGCACCACGUGGCGACUGCCAUGGUGGGAGCGGCGGUGAGGCGGCCUGCGGGGCGGGUGAUUUGGUGGAGUUGGAGGCGGGGGAGGGGGGGCUCUGCUCAGGUGGCCGGCUCGGCGCAGUUGCUGCAACGCGUGUGUGCCCACGGCUGCUUCGCACCACGCGAUGGGGGCCCGGCGCCGGGACCGGGCAGCGUGGAGCCGGGCUUAUGUUGAAUGACGGCACAAAGACGUUGAACAAAACAUUAAUUUUCCGAAGAGCGCGCGUGCCUUGUGUGCGUUGUAGGCGUUUCUCGAGGCGGCGUUCUCCUUUUUUUUCUUCUGUGCGUGCAUGCCCUGUGUAUGCGCGCCUUUUUCUCUUUCUCUUGGAUAAGUGCUGAGCGUGGACGAAUCUGUCCCUUACACCUCGUGUGGAUAUGCGUGUCUGUGCGAUGAGUGAGGAUGGACGUGGUGCGGCUGUGCACUCAGGUGAGGGAAGGCAAGAUGGGUCAUGAGUGUGUUUAGGGUUCAAGUAGGAGCAGGCGGGUUAGGAGAGAGGGCGUUGAGGUUGGUGAAGAGCGAAAGUGCCAAAUCACGGGGACUCGCCUCGGUAUCAUGGACACGGUAGGAAAAACGGCAACGUAUGAGUUUUGCUUACAGGACUCAGGCCCUCUUCAGGAGGUGGUGGGGGGAGGCGGCAGCAGCGCCACAGGUGUUGAAGCACAAUAAAGAAGCAUGUAGUAUUAAAGGAGCAUCAAGGCGCACGGGAUACAUGCACAGCAAAACAAGAAAAUUGAAUAAAAACGAAAACGCCAAGAACAGAAAGAAAAAAGAGAGAAAGGAGGUGAAAGGGGGGGGGGAGAAGAGAAGGAAGGAGAGGAGGAGGAGGAGGGGGGGUACUCGUUUUUGUUUGCUUGCUUUAUUAGUAUCAUUUUUAUUUGGCUAAACAUCCGCUCCUGCACACCACGCAUCAUUGCCUUUUCGCCCGCUUGCUCCAUCUCCCUCCCUCCCUCCACCCCCCACUCGACACCUGCAGCAGGAUUGCUCCUCCUUUUUUUAAAUUAUCGUUUUCUUUUGUAUCGCAGAAACCCGCAGCAGCGCGACCAAGGCACGGCUCACUUG
Molecule: unclassified non-coding RNA, 1611 nt
Filed under: Leishmania donovani
Lineage: Eukaryota; Euglenozoa; Kinetoplastea; Trypanosomatida; Trypanosomatidae
Description: gene:unknown
Source: RNAcentral